This 19040-nucleotide long non-coding RNA is filed under the name Lactuca sativa (garden lettuce). Its description in RNAcentral is "long non-coding RNA (LSAT_LNC007610)". The stretch from base 16861 to 16955 matches the Rfam family "Small nucleolar RNA SNORD96 family". Lineage: Eukaryota; Viridiplantae; Streptophyta; Magnoliopsida; Asterales; Asteraceae. The record is from RNAcentral.
ACAAUUCUCUCUAAACAACUUGUAAAUCUCUUUUUGUCUCUAGUGUUUUGCUAGAGUUUUUGUUUAUAUAUCUUUGUUGUUGACGGUUUCAAAAAAAAAAAACAAAAACUCACUACAUUAUACGGAAUACAUGUGUGAGCAGCUCGUGAAUGGCUUGACAAAGCCAAGUCACGCGUGAGACGCCAAGGAACACCGUCCCCAACCUACGUAAUUGGUUGAGGAUCUCUUGGGAUUUAUUUAUUGUUGCUUUUCUGAAUGCCAAAAUUUGUUAAUAAAUCUCUUGAGACAUUUAGAUUGGUUUUUUUAGGUAGAGGAUUGUGAGCGAAAUCUCUAUUAGGUGAAAUGGGAUAUUGUCUUGGCUAACAAAAUAAGGUGGGGUGGGAAUUUGUCACACCCCAAAACCGGAACGGCGGAAACGUUCUGGGGCGGAGGACAUCAUGUACAGUAUCACAACACAGAAUAAUAGUAAACAAGCAAACAACAUCAUCCAUUGCAUUAAUAAUGUAUUUUAAUACAAGUGUGUUCUCUAUAGUUUAUAAGACACCAAAAAUAUGAAUCAAAAUAAAAUAUAAGUCUUGCAUGUGCUCCAUCUUCUCAAAAGUUGGCAUCGGUACCUGUCUACUUAUGACCUGAGAAUACAAGUUAUUUUGAAAGAGUUUAUCAGCUUUAAAGCUGGUGAGUUCAUAAGCAUUUUAGUGUCAUUGUUUGUAUGAAAAUGUUUGUAAGUGUUUGAAUGUAUAAGUUUGUAAAUGUUUGUAGUAAAUAUUUGUAUCUCCUAGAAAAUCCUAUAUUUUCUACUAAAAGUAGCCUUCUACCAAGGCAUCAAAUGUAUUGUACGUUUGUUAUUGUAAAAGUGAAUAUUCCUCCCAAAUGUGACUAUCAUUAAUAAAAUAUAGUUUUUACAUUACCAUUAAGAUCAUAAAGUGAAUGUAAUGGGAAAAAUAAUGAAGUACUGUAGUAUUAUGUUAUAGUAACUACUUAUGUACUGACUACCUUAAACCAAUUGUUAAUUAAGGUAUAAUGUGAUAUAAUUGUAACCAUACUUGAUCGACCUAGUAAAACACGACGCUCGAAGACAUCGAGAUGGUAUGACAUUCAUCACCCGAAGACCUGCAGGUCCUACUGUAGCUAGCAGCAAGGUGUAGGACGGUCAGUCCAGUAUAGAUCUAUACACAAAUUCACGUUCUCCGUUCAGAAGACUUUGGUUACAAGUCGAUCCAUGACAGAGAUGCCAUGCCCCGUAGUAGUGCCUCAUAUUUAUGUUAUAGUAUGUAUGUAUUGUAUGUACUAGUGUAGUGUAUGUUCUCUCUAAUUCCCAUCAUAGUAUGUUCUUUUGUAUAGUAUAUGGUGUGUAUGUAUUAUAUGUACUAGUGUAGUGUAUGUUCUCUCUGUAUAGUGUAUAGUAUGUAUUGACUCAUGUGUGAAUUGACUCUUGGUAUGUUUCAUUGUACUAGAAAAUAGUAAGUAGUAUACCUCUAAACUAUACCUAUUAUAGUUUACUAGAAAUGUUGUUUGAAUGACUUAGUAAGUUUAUACACCUUUGCUACCCAAAGGUGAUGGAACUGAGGUAAAAGCUUUAUAUAUAUACAUAUAUACAUAAUANUAUAUAUAUAAUAUAUACAUAAUAUAUAACUAAGGAUCAAACGACACUCGGACAAACAACAUGGUACUCUAAGUCCACAACCAAACAAGGAACAGGAAUUAAAGUGAGUUAUCAGUCCUAAGUCCUUCAAACCUUACUUGUAUAACUAUAUUUGUAUUAAACAUGAUUUUGACAAUGUAUUUGUUUAAAGAAUUGAAAGUAAAGAUUUGGUAACUAAGAUCAAGUUUUAUAAAGAGUUUAACAUGUAAAAGAGUUUGAUAAUCAUUUUAAAAUAGUUUUUGUUGACAAAAACAGUUAAAAGUAUAGUAAAUCCAAUUGUUUGAUAGUUAUAAAUCACAUGUGAUUAAUAUUAUAACUAUAAUGAUUCAGCUUGUAUUCCCCCCCCCCCUCCAUAAAAGCAUUUAAAAACAUUUAAAAGGUUAAUUAAGGGGUAUGAACUCACCUACAGUGAGUGGUUUGGAUGAAAUUGAUGUAUAGGAUGCUAAGUGCCAAGUGAAGACUUGAAUACACACACGGAUCCUAGUUAGCACAUAAUGACACACAUAUGCAUCUAAUUAGUGAUUAAACAACUAAUUAAGCAAGUAUAGACACCUUAGAACAUGGACAACACUUUGAUUCAAGUACUAGAAGUACAAAAGGGUUGCAUCUAAGGGUUGUAGGGCCUCACUUUGGAGUUUACGGCCCAAGUGUAAACUCCCCAUGAGUUCACGACCAUGGGUUUACGGACCUAAUGAGUUUACGGCUGUAAACUCAUGGUGACUUGUACCAUUUUGAUGUUUAAGGUCCUUAACUCAACUUGGAAGUGUUAUAGACCUAGUUCCAAUGCUAAGGAAAGAGGUGUGGCAACCUUGCACACAUCAUUAGGGUUUACGGCCAAUGGAGAUUACCUUGGCCGUAAACACCCUUUGUUCUUGAUUUCUUGGUGUUUUCAAGUCCUUGAUUCAUCAAUCUAACUAACAAACAUGUAUAGGAGGUAGGGACUUACAUUUUGAAGGCUAAUGGAGGGUGUUUUCGGCCCAAAACACUUAAGUGUUCUUGGUUUUCUUGAUGAUCUUGAAGAUCUAGUUUCCAAAGAUGAAAUUUGUUGUGACAACCCGAAAUUUUCAUUCGUACAAACCUAUAGUCAAGCACUUCAAAUAAAAUUCAAAUACAUUUAUACUAAUUUUUAGUCAGUUUAAAGUCCGUUUGGGUGUUUUCAGUAUUUAUUCUUCAACGAACGAAAGAAAGGAAGUACUUUCUCGGGUAUUGGAGUAGCAAACCCACACUUAGCACCCUAAUAAGGAGUUCACAGUCAAACUUUUGGAUUUUGGGCCGUAAACUCCCUUGAGGCCGCAAACUCAUGAUUAAGGCAUGAGUUUACUCUUCAUUCUUUGAUUCUCCAACAUUCCACCUCAAGAACCCCCACCAUUCUCUCUCAAGUAUCAUCCCACUCUUCUCCCAAUCUUCCGAAAAUGUAAGUGUUUAUUCACUUGAUUUGUUGUUAUGACAUUACAUCUAGUUGUUAUACAUCAUUUCAUCCAUACAUUCUUGAUUUUCACUUAGGUCUUCAAGUGUUCUUCAAAACACCAAGAACACACACUAAUGUUCUUGGACCUUAAACACCCAAUCAAGCUUCUAUCUUGUAAGUACACUUGUCAUAGCUUGUCAUGUACUUAAAUGAACUUAUUUACACUUAGAAAACACCUAAGAAAACAUAAGAUCAAAGGUGUUUACGGCCAAGGCAUGUUCUUGGGCCGUAAACCCUUAAAAGAGGGGCAAAGUGCACCCUAGUCCCUUGCUUGGCCUUGUAUACUAGUCUAGAUCACUUCCUUGAAGUGUUUAGGACCUUAAACAUCAAAGAAACCAAGUCCACAUAGAGUUUACGACCAUAAACUCAUAAGGAAAUGGUCCUUAGGUCGUAAACUCUAUAAAGAGGUGAUAUUGUGCCCCUAAUGCUUCCUAAAGCUUGGACUUGAUCAUAGAAUGCUUACUCAUGACUUAUAAGACCUUAAAUCACCAAAUGACACUUAGUACCAUGAGUUUACGACCGUAAACUCAUGGGGGAAAUGACCUUAGGCCGUAAACUCCAUAAGGAGUGGUCCUUGGGCCAUAAACUCCAAUGCCAUGCCAUGCAACCUUUAGAUGCAACCCUUUGGUACCUAUAUCACUUGAAUCAAAGUGUUUCCAUGUACUAGGGUGUAUUAACUUAGUUAAUUAGUUGUUAAAUGACUAAUUGGAUACAUAUAUGUGUUAUUAUAUGUUAUUUAGGAUCAUUGUGUGUGUUCAAGUCUUCACUUGACACCUAGCACCUUGUCCGACACUUCCAUCCAAUCCACUCACUACGGGUGAGUUCAUACCCCUUAAUUAACCUUUUAAAUGUUUUUAAAUGCUUUUAUGGGGGAAUACAAGUUGAAUCAUACUAGUUAUUAUAUCAAUCAUAUGUGAUUAAUAACUAGCAUACAAAUGGAUUUACUACACUUUUAGCUGUUUUACUCAAUAUACUACUUCAAAAUGAUUUCUCAAAACGUUUUUACAUAUUAAAUUCUUUAUCAAACUGUCUUACAACUAUAUCUUUCCUUUCAAAAUCUGUUAUAACUACGUUUCAAACAAAGGUUUUCAUGUACUUCAAGAUGUGUUUCCAACAAAGGAUUCUUAUACUCUAUACUGUUCUUAUCAAACAAACUGCUUUUAAAUCAUUUUAUAGACUGACGCCAAGUCAUCAAUUCUUAUUUAUUAAACUUUUCAAAGGUUUUACAAAACUUCUUUUAAACUUUUAUAUUGUCAAAUGCAUGCCUAUAUAUUAUGUAUACAUACAUAGACAUAAAGGUUCUAUCAGUCAAUUCAGUAUCUUUGGGUAGCAAAGGUAUACUUUCGGUUAUACACGUACAUUACUAGUAACUAUAAUAGGCAUAGUUAGGAGAUACUACUUACUAUUCCUAGUACAAGAAAUCACAAAAGAGUCAGUUCAUUCAUGAGUCUAUACAAAUAUAUUACAUACUAUAUGAAGAGAUACUAUUACAUACUAUAUGAAGAGAUACUAUUACAUACUAUAUGAAGAGAUACUAUUACAUACCAUAUGAAGAGAAACUAUUACAUACUACAUGAAGAGAUACUAUUACAUACGAUACGGGACUGACCAUUCUACACCCAGCUGUUAGCUACAGUGGGAAAAUGCACAUCGACGGAUGUCUACGGUAGUACUGUUCGACGAGUUACCAUGCCGUGUUUAUCCUAAGACAAAAGGAUACGAUUGCAAUAAUUAUAUUAUUUUCCUUAUUACCUUUAUUUUGUGACACAUUCACAUAAUCGAUGAGGUACACUAGAUUUUAAUAAUAAUAGUUGUACAAGGGAAAAACCUUCAUUUUUGCAGAGGUUCAAACCUUCAAAACAGUCGGGUCUUGGUAGAAGACUACUUUUUAUACUAGUAGGAAAUAUGAGAUUUUCUAGGAUUUUUAUACUUAUACAAACUUUUUCUCAAACAAUCAAGUCUUUCAUUACAGUCUUUACAAAUCAAUGACACUAAAAUACUUAUGAAUUUACCAACUUUAUGCUGAUCUAUGCUUUCAAAAUAACUUGUAUUCUUAGGUCACUAGUAGACAGGUACGAUGACCAGGUUUUGAGAAGACGGAGCAGUCAAGACUCGUCUUUAUUUUGAUUACUUAUUUUCAUGUCUUUUUCUAUGAAAGAACACACAUGUAUUAAAAUCUUACUAUUAAUGCAAUGGAUGAUGUUGUUGCUUGUUUACUACUUUACACUGUUGUUGUAACGCCUGUGUUUUCGGGCUUGCCAUUUUUAGCAAUGUAAUAGUCUAGGUUAACCUUUGUAACCCGUUUUGAAAUAAUAAGAGUGUAUUAUUUGAGUAUUAUGUGUUUUGUGCUUAAUUGCUUAAUUAUGUGGUUUGAUUAAUUAAGAAUAAAAAUAAGCGUCAAAAUUUAAGUGUAAAAUAAACUUGAUAUCUUUGGAUAAUGUUGUAGUAGUUGAAACGAGGUUUCCAAAUAUAUAUAGAUAGCCCAAAUCUGACUUCGUAUGAGGAAGUUAUGAUUUAUCGAAGUUCCGGCUUAGCGAUAUACAGCCUGUUUUACUCGAUUUGAGAUCGAGCGGUUGUUAGCCGAAGCAAUCUAAAUGAGAAUCGAAGAUCUCAUUGUUGGUAUCGAAGCGAUAAAAAGUUAGGCGAGAACGGACGUCAAACGAAGAAGUUAUGAAUUUAUAACGAAAGUUUCUGUCGCGGCCUAUUAAAAAUAAUUAAUAAAAAUAAAGUCAAAAUUAGCCGACGGAGUCUAAACGAAAGUCGUAGAGCGUGGUCUCACCUUCGCGUGGAUAUAAAGAACGUCGAAAACGGAGUUCGUAUGAAGAAGUUAUGAAUUUCCGAAGUUUAUUAAUCAUUUUGUAUUUAUAUUUAAAUCAAAAUUCGGAAGCAUUAUCCGAAGGAGUCACCGAUCUGAUCCGAGGUACGCCCCGCGUACUCGAGUACGCCCCGCGUACUCCGAGGGAUGUCGACACUCGCACUCGAGCACUUCGGAUACGUAAGCAAUGACGUUUUGGGCAGUACGCCCCGCGUAACGCAGUACGCCCCGCGUACUCCGAGGCUCCAGCCUCCUAUAAAUAGGAUGCGAGGGUUCCGGGUAUUUUUGCCAAUUCCCUCUCGUUUUCGUGUCGAAGCUCUGUGCAAAAACCCCCGAAGCUACCCCGAAGCCCCGGUAUCAUACUCUAGCCCCGAGGCAAGUCCCGAGAUCCCGAAGAUCCCGAGAAGUGCGGUUCCCGAGUCGAAGCUCUGCCCGCGAGAAGUUCGAUUUUCGAGGAGAUCUUCCAGAUCUGCUGAGGAAUACUACUUCUAUAAGCCGUAGUGCUGUCCGAUCAUCUUCUGAUCAAGUGAGUGUGUAGUUAUUUCUUCUAAUACAAUAAUACGAAGUAUUUUAUAUAAAAAUACGUGCUAUGUGUAUAUAUUUGGUUGUGUUAUGUGUGAAUGAGUAUUCACUCUCUUCUAUCUUAUAGAUCUGCUUAUUUCUUUAUGAGAUAUGUGUUAUGUGUGUGUGUGCCUCAUCUGUUAUGUGAUAUAUGUGUUGAUUAAAGCAUGCUAUACAGGUUUUCUUUAAACUAUGUAUACAAAUGUAUAUUUUUAUCUACUAAUAUGUUGGGUAGAACAUGGGUAGACAGUUGGUGUGUAAUAAACAGAUGAGAGGCCUCGUUGUUGUUUGAUUGAGUCAUCUAGCGGAGUUUAGAUGACGACCACUGGCUAUUCUAGACAGUCUUGUGGAAACAUUAGCAGGUUCGCCACCUGUAGGUGUUAAUGAACUUGGGUGUUCAUUCGCUGUACUCCAUCCCCCUCAUGGUUGCCUUAUUUGACUUAUAUUGCUGAGGAACCCCCGAAGCAUGUGUUGUCGCCCCGAUGAAAUAUUCUUAGACUAGGUCCCUUAUGUUAGUUGUUUUAGGGACAUAAAGUGAGAAUAACGGGAAUGGGUAAUUGGGUUAUUGUUGGUUGGUGGAAAUUAAAUAUAAUUAUUUAUUGUGGGUUGAAAACCCUAUAUGCUCACCAGGCUCCCAAGCCUGACCCACUCAGUUUUAUUUGUAUUACAGGAAGUGGCGCGAGGGCAUAAGAUGGAUGAACCAUCAAGUUGUUUUGUUUACAAGUCUGUAUAUGUAUAUAUUUGUUGAAUGACUUGUAAUGUUAUCGUUUAUGCUUAUUGGUCUGUAUCGGAACAUGACACCCCGAGUUUUGAUUAUAUAAUGAAAAUACAUUUCUUUUAUGAAAUGCUUUGGUAAACAUUGUUUUAUCAUGUUUUGUUUUUGGGAACAAAUUUCGCAACUCUUUCAAAUCAAAAGGAUUUACUCUGAAAUUAUUUUAAAAACAUAAAUGAAAAUCGGUCUUUUCUGGCCGAGAUUUUGAGGAUGUCACAGUUGUGAUGCUUUACAUGACGUCCUCCGCCCCAGAACGUUUCCGUCGUUCUUGGUUUUGGGGUGUGACAGUUAUGGAUGGAUUCAAGCAUGAAUCAAGAAGAAGUGAUGUAUAACACAUAGAUGUAGUGAUUUACUUACAUUUUUGGAAGAUUGGAAGCAAAAGUGUCAAGAUCCUUGAGAGAAAAUUCUGAAUUCUUGGGCUUGGAAGGUGAAAAGUGAUUAAAACUCACUAAGGAUCAUAUAUAUACCCUGGAGUUUACGGCCACCUUGAGUUUACGGCCGUAAACUCAAUGGUCUUGGUCGUAAACUCCUAUUUCGAGGGCUUAAGGCUUUUUUGGUAAUUUACAAAUCCAAUAGACACUUCCUUUCACUCAUUCCUUUGGUUUAUUAAGCUCAGAAUGCUCAUACAGACUCAACACAAUGCUAAAAGUUAGCAGAAGCAAGUUUGACUUUUAUUGAAAUGUAGGGUUUGUACAAAUAGAAAUUUUGGGUUGUCACAAAAUUGAUUUUUGUAUAUUUGUUUAAUGUUUUUAAAUGGAAGUGGAAAUUCUUAAAUAAUUCGAAUGGCUUAUGGUGCAUGGUCUUUCUAACAUCCGAAUUUUCAAACCAAUUUUUUUCAUUUUUAAAUCCAUAGAAAACAGUUUUCAUAAAAACCAUCCCAAGAAAAGUCAUGAUGUCAAAUACAAUUUCACAUCAAAAUAUCAGAGUGUCCCAAAAUAUCCAAUAACAAAAUCUCUCAUUUAAUGUGUACAUCAAGCCUUCAUCUUCCCGCGAUCCUCAAAAGUACCUUAAACACAUUUAAUCAACAACUGCAAGCACAAAGCAUAGUGAGUUCCCCAAAAUAUCACAUACAACACAACACAUAAAGCAGUUAUGGGUUAUCAGCAACCCUGGAGACUACUCGAAGUCUCAGUGGGCAAACAACACGCCAUGUGGUUUAUCAGCAACCCUGGAUACUACUCAAAGUCUUGGCACACAUAAGGUAACACAUAUCAAAGUAAUAACACAUAGACCCAGUUGGUCAUCACAUAAAUAAAUCUAUACUAACACACAUGUACGAAUAAGUGAAAAGACUCACCUUGUACAACUAACUAAUAGAAACUCACGCCCAAACUUCCGGAACUAGACUCCGCCAAUCAACUAUACCAAUUAACCCUAAUGAAUAAUUAAGGUAACUUUCAUACUUCACUAAUCCCAAGCCAAGUCUAAUACAUAGUUUGGGCAAAAAACCACUUUCCCCUCACAAUAUCCAAACCCUCACAACUUGUCAAAAGGGCAUACUUUGUCAAAAGUCAAUGAAAGUCAACGGCGGCCGUACAUACGAGGUACACUUCUCUACGUUGGGCGUAGAGCAUUGGGCAGGCGGAGACGGGUUUGCAACUGGUUACGUUGAGCAUAGCCAGAAGUACGCUCGACGUACACGGCAUAUUUCAACAUUACANUAUAUAUAUAUAUACAACUAUUCUACCACACAUGUAAGAAUAAGUGAGGAGAAUCACCUGGUACUGAUGAUUGAUACUACUCACACCCGAACUGCCAUAACUAUACCUCGCCUAAUUAAAUACACCAACUAACCCUAAUUAAUAAUUAAGGUAUUCACACACACACACACACACACCACUGAACUCAUACAAGUCUAGUCCACACCUAGAGUAGAAGACUGCUUUGCCCCUACAAAACCCCUCACAAUCCAUCUAAGACACAAAUGUUCCAAGUUAACAAAAGUGAACAAAAGUUAAUAGUCUCCCAUAACCAGUAUGUUGGGCGUAAUCACUCUACGUGAGACGUAGAACGCAAGGCAAGAGGGAUGGGCUCGAAUCUGGCUAUGUUGGGCAUAGCCAGGUGUACGCUCAGCGUACAUAAGCUAAUAUCAACACUUCUGAUGCAAACGUCUUAAUCAUUAAUACAUCCAUUCCAAACACAAAUCUAGCCCCUAAAGAACUUCUUAAGCUAUAAAGUUUUUGAAUUUAAGCCUUUGCAUGGAUACAAGGAGAUAAAGCCCAAAAACCCUAACUUCUUACCUCAUUAAAACCCCGUAUCUCUUGCAUGGAGGAAAAUGAAUGACCAAGAUAACAUUUUUAUGACUUUAUACAUCUUAGAAUCGCUGGAAGGAUGAAUUAAUAGCUCUGGAUUACUCCAUACUCGUAAAGAUCAAAGCUUUGGGACAUAAAGAACCAAAAUGCAAGGCUAAGAAAUAUCUAACUAAAUGAGCUCCAAGAUUUGAACUUUAUACCUUGAAAAUGUGCACAAAGAGAUGAAGUUGUUGAAUCUACAAGCUAUAAUGCACCACCACCACUUGAAUGAUCAUCCUUCUUACACCAAAACACUAAACAAUCACUUUCCAAGCUUCAAAACACUCUCACAAGGUUAGGGUUCCGAUAUAGUGUUUAGAGGCAAUAAAGGCUAGAUAAGAUGAUGUCAAAGGGAGGGAUAAGAUGAUUAAAUAUGGGUCACACCCUAAAAUUUACGAUUUAGCAUCUGCAUGAGUACACCCGUUGUACUCACACGUACAACUAAUGUACCCCCUCUUCCGCCUUGACUACCUCGAAGACCUACGUUCGACGUACAUGGCUAGUACGCCCAACUUAAGUGGCCAAAAUGCAAAUUACAUUAACUUCAAGGGCUGAAAAUAAAAUACCUGACAACGGGUAUUACAAAUCUCCCCCACUAGAAUCAAACUUCGCCCUCGAAGUCAAGCAUCUCCGCCUCGGGCUCCCAAGUCCACUCUGAGCCCUUCCGAUGUUGCCAAUGAACCCUGACCAGGUUCACUACCUUAUUCCUAAAUGUCUUCACCUUCCUAUCCAUAAUUGCAAUCGGGCUCUCAAUAUAGUUCAGGCUAUCAUCGAUCUGAAUGUCCUCCAAAGGAACCAAAAUUGUCUCAUCAGCUAUACACUUCCUCAACUGGAAAACAUGGAAGGUAUCAUGGUUAUGACUUAACUACUCAUGGAGCUCCAGCCGGUAAUCCAGCUUGCCCACACGGACUAACACUCUUAAAGGGCCAAUAAACUUGGUCCCCAACUUGACCCGCUUCCUAAAUUGAAUAACGCCCUUCCAUGUUGAUACUUUCAGAAAAACCAAAUCACCAACCCAAAAUUCCAACUCAGAGCGUCGCCGGUCCGCAUAACUCUUCUGAUGACUUUGAGUCGUUAGUAAUCUCUGUCUGACUUGCUGAAUAAGCUCAGUCGUCUUCAACACUAUCUCAGUGUUCCACAUGACUCUCUAUCUGACUUCUCCCUAACAAAUAGAAGUCUGACACUUCCUCCCAUACAAAAGAUCAAAGGGAGGCAUGCCAAUGUUGGCAUGAUGGUUGUUUUUGUAAGAAAACUCAGUCAAAGGGAGGUAAGAGUCCCAACUCCCACCAAAAUCAAUGAUGCACGAAUGAAACAUAUCUUCAAUCGUCUGAAUAGUCCGCUUACUCUGCCCAUCAGUUUGCGGAUGGUACGCGGUACUGAAAUGCAAUCGGGUGCCCAAUUCUUCGUGAAACCUCUUCCAAAACCUGGAAGUAAAUCGAAGAUACAUAUCCGACACAGUAGAAUUCGGCACCCCAUGUCGAGCCACCACUUAUCAAACAUAAAUCUCAUCUAACUUAUCGGAAAAAAAGAGCCCCUCACUUAUGUCUAAGAAGUGAGCGCUCUUCGUCAAGCGGUCAACUAUCACCCAGAUAACAUCAACUCCUUUUGCAGUAUUUGACAAUUUUGUGAUGAAAUCCAUUUUGAUUUGUUCUUACUUCCAUAAUGGAACCCCUAAAGGCUGCAAAUUGUCAUGAGGACGUUGGUGCUUAGCCUUCACCUUCCAACCGAUCAAGCAUCGCUCUACAAACCAGGCCACAUCCAUCUUCAUACACGACCGCCAAUAAUUAUGCUUCAAGUGAAGAUACAUCUUGGUAGCCCCCCCCCCCAAAUGAAUGGAGAAUAUCAACUUGUGGGACUCCCCCAUCAACACCCAUCAAACCCUACCUGCAUGCGGUACCCAAACUCGUCCAUGAAGAGUCAAAAGCCCUAUGUUGUCGAUAUCAAAGGUUGAAACCUGACCGAUCACUCGCUCACUCUUCCGAUUCUAUUUUUUAUGGCCUCUGACUGCGCUUCUUUGAUCAUUUCCAAAACUAUGGUCAUCACAGUCAUCCUUAAACACACAUCGUAAAUCGGGGUACUGACCGCCCUCCGAACCAAGGCGUCGGCUACCAGAUUGGCCUUGAAUGGGUGAUAUGUGAUCUCAUAGUCAUAAUAUUUCACUACAUCCAACCACCUCCUCUGCCUCAUGUUCAUGUUAGGCUAGUCCAUAAGAUAUCUCAGGCUCUUAUGGUUCGUAUAGAUAGUACACUGAACUCCAUAAAAGGUAAUGAUGCCAAAUCUUGAGAUCAAAAAUCGCCGCCCCCAAUUCCAAAUUAUGGGUGGGAUACUCCGCAUAAUGAGGCUUCAUUUGCCUCGAAGACUAUGCAAUCACAUGCCCAUUUGCAUCAACACAACACCCAACCCUAAAAUGGAGGCAUCACCACAAAAUCCCCAACUCCCUCCGAGAGGGCAAGUACCGAUGCCUUACAAGUACCAGGGCCCGAUGCCGGACUUCUUCUGGUGCCAGGGGAGGGGGUGAAGCGGGCAAGGCCUUCGAUUUUUCUAUUAUGUGAUUAUGUGCAUGGUAUGUGGUAGUUUGGGGAGACUCACUAAACUUUGUGUUUACAGUUUUCAGUUUUGGUUACAGGUACUUCCGGUAGCAAGGGGAAGAGUUCAGGAUGACUACGAUGCACAUACCAUUUGUUUAGUCUGGGAUGUUUUACUAUGAUAUAUUGACAUGUGUGUUUAAUAUGAUACUCUGAUUUGAUAUGAUGACUUAUGUUUUUGGAUAAAAUGUUUUGAUAACUAUGGUUUAUUUAAUAAUUAAAAAUAAAAUUUUUGGUCAUGAUUUUUUGGAUGUUACCAGUUGGUAUCAGAGCCUUGGUUUGAGGGAUUCGAAUACACUCUCGGGUGUGUCUGAACUCAAACUGAGGACUUGGUAUAAUUUUUUUUAUAAAGAAAACCAUUUUAUAAAAAAGAUCUAGAAAAGAGAAAAGGGUGUGGUACAUGCAAUCAGCUGAGCUUAAGUGAGUUCUCCCAAAUUACCCAUACAAGUUAUGUUAUGAUAUGAAUUGUGAAUAUAUGAAUUGCAUCCUAGAUUAGGGCUAAGGAUCUAGGAAGGAUGCCUUAUAUGCCUGCUAUAUGAGCUUUAUGAACUGCAUGCUAGUACUGAGCAAUCAGUGAUAUGAUGGCCUGAUUAGGAUAUGCUUGGUUAUGUUUACUUAAUGCUUGAAUGUUGCUUGCUUUGUACUUUUAGAAGUUUUAGUUAUCUUUGACUAACUAUUAAACAAAUAUGUUAAGUUACAUAUUACAAUGGCUAAAUAAUUUCAGAAGGUUAGGUUUAGCUCUAUUUCACAGCUCUUGUUUGAGUCUAACCGUUGUAAGGUAGGACCUCUCAUUCGAAGAAUUAUCUGGUCUUAAUGAUAUGUAAUGGUAUUCGCGAGUUAGUUAGGGGAGAUAGCAGAGACUACUUAUGCAACUGAUGGCAGAGAGUGGGUCGGAGAUUACCCUAGGGCAAGCCUAGGAUGAGAUUAGCGUAGAGAGCAGUAGUAGCGAAAUGUACUUGGUGGAGUCAAGGCAGUUCUUGAUGAAAGUACGGAUAGAUGUGGAAGGUAGUAUGGGCCCGUACUACUGAAAGCAGAGGAUCCAUACUCGAAUCAAGGAAGGCUAAGAUGAACCCAUGGAACAUGUAGUGUGUGUGAUCCCUCGAGUUAUGACGAGUGUACUGGUGUUUGUUAUGGUGUAUUUUCAGUAUGGUGACACUACGUACGAGACCAGUUGGCAGCUCUGGCACCGGCGAGGGAUCAGGCUCGGGAUCUGGAGUCGGGCAUCCCGAUGAUCAGAUGAGUGAGUUCAUCUCAUCAUUACUUAUCUACAUCAUUACCUAAUAUACAAAAGAUUAUAUAAAAUAACUACUAUAUGUACUGAAGCCGAUAAGCUUUAUAUGUUGGCUCUAGUUGUAGGGUACACGUUGAUGCUAGAGAAUGUGUAGAGUGUUUGACUCAUCAUAUCAUAAGGUGUGACCUUAUAAUCUCCCACUAUCUGAUGAUGUCAAAGCUAAUCUUCAAUGAAUUCUUCAGUUCGUGCUCCCUCUAAGACUAAGAAUGAAGUUUUAAUGUUUCAACUUUAACUAAUGCUCCCCCCUGAGAAUAUGAAUGACUUAUUAAGUAAUCGAGGCAUCAUUUAUGAAUCACAACGGACGAAGGAUGAAUAUGUAAAGGUGACGAGUUGGCAACUCUGGCACCGAUGAGGGAUCAGGCUCGGGCUUUGGAGCCGGCCAGCUCGAUGAUCAUAUGAGGGAGUUCAUUUCAUCAUUACUUAUCUACAUCAUUACCUAACAUACAAAAGAUUAUAUAGAAUAACCACUCUAUGCACUAGCUUUAUACGUUGGCGAUGGUUGUAGAGUACACGUUGAUGCUAGCGAAUGUGUAGAGUGUUUGACUCAUCAUAUCAUAAGGUAUGACCUUAUAAUCUCCCCCUAUAUGACGAUGUCAAAGCUAAUCUUCAAUGAAUUAUUCAGUUUGUGCUCCCCCUAAGACUAAGAAUGAAGUUUUAAUGUUUCAACUUUAACUAAUGCUCCCCCUGAGAAUAUGAAUGACUUGUCAAGUAAUUGAGACAUCAUUUAUGAAUCGCAACGGAUGGAGGAUGAAUAUGUGAAGGUGACGAGUUGGGCUGAAAGUGUGGAUCAGCUUGACCCAACUAGCUGAGAAUAUUGAUAUUAGCUUGACUCGACUCCCCCUUAGAUUGUGCUUUUAUGUAUAGAUUUUCUCCCCCUUUUUGACAUUAGCAGUAAACACAUGAAUAAAGUUGUUGUAGCUUGUAGUUUAGUAAGAUUAUGACGUCUCUUGAUAGUAUUGGCUUAAACUAUCAUUCACUAACAAUGUAUUGCGAGAUUCAUCAGCAUGUGGUUUCAUACGCUGACUCAUUAGUCACUUUUAUUAAAAGAAAAAGAGCAAUGAUUUUAUGUUGUGUGUAACACAUUCCGAUAUGAAAUGUACAAAUCGACAAAGAGUGUCGAAGUUUUAUCAGUGUAUGGAUGAAUUAUUGGGAAAGAGUAGGUAGGCGCGUGUAAUAUAUCACGCACAAUGAUAUACCCAUCGGCACAAAUUUUCGAAUUCUCAUCAGUGUCUAGUAUCAUACGCUGAAUCAUAAAAUUCUAAAUAAGAAUUUAUGGAAAGAAUAGUUUGAUGCGUGUGAUAAGCUGUGGUGUUUUAGCUUAACCAUCGACAUAGAUUUUUCAAGCUCUCAUCAGCGUGUGUACAUUACAUUGAACCAUAAAACUUCAAAGAAGAAUAUCAAGGCAAUAAUGGGUUGGUGCGUGUGAUAGCCUACAAUACAUAGACUAACCAUCGACACAUUGUUUCAAACUUUUAUUAGUGUGUGGUAUAUCACAGUGAAUCGUCGAGUUUUAUUAAAAAAAUUAAGGAAAUAAUAGAUUGUUUAAGUCACAAUGAUGUGGAAUCAACGUGAAUCAUAAACGGUGUUAACUCAUCAAAAAAAAGUGGUUCAAACUUCCGUAUCAUAUAGUUAAGUUGCAGUUUAGAACUAUAAAGUUCACCAUCAAUUCUUUAGAAUGGUAUAAAAAUAAUAAUAAAUAAUAUAAGAAUACAACAAAAAAAGUUAGUCAAAUAAGGAAAGGAAUAUACAACCUUGUUCAGAGGCUCUCUAUAUAGCCUUUUUCAGAAGAUGUUUUGUGAAAAAUAAAUCUUUUGAAGUAAUUACUCAUUUAUUAAAUUUCUUUGUUCGAGAUAUCUACCCUUCAAGAUUGGCUAUUAAUCACUGAAAUAUUCCAGAUGAACUUCAACCUUCAUAUUUAUCAAAGAACAAAAGAGAAGUAGAGAUCAGUCUUUGUAACCAACAAGUUAACUGACUCAAAUCCAUGAAACCAUUGUGUCCUCAAGAUUAACAUGAGGGCAUUUGAGGUUUUAUCAGAUCAAGAGUCAGUAGAUGAAAACAAGACCUACUACAUUGAUGGUUGCUCUUUGCAUCCAUAACAAUUAGUGGAGGAGAAAGAGUGUAUCCUCAAGAGGAAGAGGAUUUUCUCCUAACUAUCCCUAUUGAUGGCCCAGACCAGCAUAUGUCUAAUGUGGAGUACCAAACUAUCCUUCGUUACCGCCUCAUGAUUCCUCUAUUCUCGAUUGACGAGAUAUGCCUAGUUUGCUGCAAGGCAUUUUGGAUACAUGUAGGGAACAUGCAGUUCUUUGUACCUACAUGAUGUGGUUAGGGAUGUUCUCUUUGAUGUUUGUCGGCUGCUGAUAUUUUCGUGAAGAAAGAAAUGUUAGUGAACUUUUUGACGGACCCACUGGAUGGAAGAUCCACACUCAGGCCGACUGACAUUUUGGUCUUUAGAUAUGUAGGAGGGAAGCACGCUUGUGUGGAUCUUAUUGGGGUCUCCCCUUUCGUCGGUUUGAGAUGCGGGGGUUUCACAGUAGAGCAUGUCGCUUUGAAAGCUGCUGCAUGCAAAGUGGCAAAGCACGAGAAUGCAUGCAUAGAAAAUCACAUGUGCUUAUACCUUUUGCAUUUGAUACUUUUGGUUUUAUCGAACCAAAGACGAUGAAACUCCUCAACAAAGUUUAACAGAUCAUGCAUUAUAAUGUUAUAUCUUCAACAUCCACGUAUGUUGUUUUCAAAAGAAUUAGUUUUGUCAUUCAGAAAAAUUUAAUAACACAACUUAUUGUCCAUUUGCUUUCCGUCUAUAUGCAAUGAUUUUUUUUUUUUUUUAUCAUCAAUUUAAAUUGGAAUUUGAUUUAUUCAAAUGUAUUAUUUUCAAAACAAAUCAAAUGGUUAACAUUGAUUUACUCAAGUAAGCCGAUACAAGCCCAUUGGGUCAAAAGAACGGGGUUCAUCCAUUGAUUCCAUUCUAUGAUUAUAUCCUAACACCAUCUGACGGCUCACAAAGCAUCACCAUCAUCACAAAGACCUCCAUCCUUCUCUUAUAAUAAGCCUCUUCACCUCGCCACAUCAACAAGUAACCCUAGCUAAACAUACAACCAUCAUCAAGUCACACCCCCUUCAACCCUCUCAAAUCUAGGGUUUUUUUUUUGUCUAAAUUUCAAAUGUCAAGACAUCAUAGAUUUGUAGCUCUCGUAGCCGACGAUUUACAAAAAUUUGGGGCGAAAUAGUUGAUGUUCGUAAAACUCAAUGGUAAAUCGUCGCAAAUCGAGCCGUCUCUGUGAUCACAGCGGUUGAGCCGCCCUUCGCCGGGCGGUUCCCGUUAACCGGAGAAGGCGUUGUCACAUCCUAUCGCCUUGGGGAGCGGAGUCUCUGCAAUUACCUCUUGGGAUUGGCCGUGAGAAAGACAUUCACUAAUCGUUUGAAUUCCAUACUUGAAAUCGGCCUGUGAUGAAAUCUAUUUAAAAGAACACCAUCUUUCGGGACUGAAUGGUCUUUCUCGAGAUCUUGAUGUCAAUUCUGCAAUUCUGAGGCCAUUUUUCUGUGAUUUUUUUUUAAUUUAAAAUGUUGUAACAAAUGCGUACUGUAUUUGAAUUCGAAUGUGGAUUCAAGUACCAAUAAUCAUCAUUCAUCAAAUUCCUUUUGCUAUCAGAAUGAAGAAUUUUUUCAAACAAUAUGAACACUUUCCUGAAUUUCUGUCUUUCAUAAAAUGCAUCGAUGAAACUCUGAAUUCUCAAUUGAUAGCUUGUUUGUUACCGAUUAUUUACAAAAUGUUUGGGGCAAGUUAGUUUAUAUUAGAAUAGUAUGUCCUUUUGGGCUAUUAAAUGAUCCCAUGUUAAUAUUUUAGAGCACAAUGCACAAAAUCAAAUUUAUGCAUGAACAAAUCCGGUGUCGUUUUCCUCAAGCUUUCGUGAUUUCACCAUCAUAUUACAUGUAUAUCAAAGUGAAUGUUUCCAUAUCCAUUUUUGAUUAAAUGUUUAUUGCAUAAUAGCAUUGAAAAUGUAGACACUGUGUAGAAAAUGGACUUUUAGGUUAAAAAGCAUUCCCAAACGCCACUAAAAGCAAAUACUUUAUUUAAAACAAAGCCUAAAACAUAUUCAUGCUUUAAACAAAUACUUUUACUUUAAUGAAUCAGAAAUAUUAUGAAUUUAAGUAGGCAUGUUUACUUGUAUAUAUAACUAUUAACAUUUUAAUAAUAUUUUUAUUUGUUCACUUUGGGUUUAGCGGCCUUGAAGGUUGUAUCUUUGAAUAUAGUUGUAUUAUCUUUUUUAGAAUUUUGUAGCUUUGUUUGUGGUUAAUGGUGCCAUUAGAAAUUUGAAGUAUACUACCUAAACAACAUUAGGAGUUGGAUCAUUUUUUGUUAGAAUGUCUAAUAACCGUAGAUCACAAACAUCUCUUACCAUCUUUUUUGCCAUAAAAAAGGUUGUUUGUGAUUUGGAGUGGUUAGACAUGAAAGACGAUCAAUUCCAUGUUUGCUUGAUUUGAAGUCUAUAUAUAAUUUCUAAGACCAUCCAUAUGAAAUCAAUGAAUGAGUUUAAUGAGUUGAAAUGUCUAGUUAUAAUUUCUAAGACCAUCUUAUUGUGAUGUAAUUUUAUCGUAAUGAGAUUUUAUCUCGAUAGAUUUGGAGGUUAAUGGUCAUUGAGUUAUUUAAUGAAAAAAGGAAAAGUUUUUUAAUUUUAAAUAUUUAUUAUAAAUCAAUUUUUGUAUCUUUUUAUUGAAAUUUGUAGAGUUUAAUGCAUAAUAGGAUAAGAUGAUAGAGUUAUAUGGAGUGUAAAAAAAUUAUGUGAUAUUCCAUUAAGUUUUAUGGACUUCAAUGCAUUGUGGAUACCAUAAGACUUCAAAGCAAGUGUGAAAGUCUAUGUGGCAUCCCAAGGGAAGCUUCAAAUCAAGUGUGGAUAACUUGAUGCUUCAAAUCAAGUGUGAAAGUCUAUGUGGCAUCCCAAGGGACGUUGGAACCCCCAAGGGUCUAGUUUGGCAUCUCCAUGAGGACGAAUGAAAACACCUUAUAAGAAAUUAGCGGCAACAUCGAUCAUUCUUUUUUUUUUCUUUUUUCUUUCUACCUCUUCACCACCAAUCUACCGGCGAACAUCAUUUCUACUACCUAGUCGAUUAGUUGUGGAAUGGUAAAAAAUCUAUGUGACCGUAGGGUUGUGCCAUUUGCGACUUCGGCAUUUGAAUUGUGAAGAUACAAACAAGUAAAGUAGGGUUGUGCAUUGUGGGUUGUAUGUUCGCAGAUGGAAUUCAAUUUGUUACUAUUUUUUUGUACACAUAAAGAUAGUUCUUGUAGCCGACGAUUUACAAAAUAUUGGGGCGAAAUAGUUGAUAUUCGUAAAACUCAAUGGUAAAUCGUUGCAAAUCUAGCCGUCUUUGUGAUCACAGCGGUUGAGCCGCCCUUUGCCGGGCAGUCCCCGUUAACCGGAGAAGGCGUUGUCACAUCCUAUCGCCUUGGGGAGCGGAGUCUCUGCAAUUACCUCUUGGGAUUGGCCGUGAGAAAGACAUUCACCAAUCGUUUAAAUUCCAUACUUGAAAUCGGCCUGUGAUGAAAUCUAUUUAAAAGAACACCAUCUUUCGGGACUGAAUGGUCUUUCUCGAGAUCUUGAUGUCAAUUCUGCAAUUCUGAG